This 884-nucleotide long non-coding RNA is filed under the name Gallus gallus (chicken). RNAcentral's name for it is "lncRNA (ENSGALG00010010126.1)". The record is from RNAcentral. Lineage: Eukaryota; Metazoa; Chordata; Aves; Galliformes; Phasianidae.
GAUCAUCAGUGGGGUCAUGGGAUGGAUGGAUGACAUGGGUGGGGUCACUGGUGGCAUCAGUGGGAUCAGUGGGAUUUCUGGGAUGGAUGGGAUCAUUGUUGGGAUGGGUGGGAUCAUCAGUGGGGUCAUGAGAUCAGUGGGAUUGCAGGGAUGGAUGGGAUGAUCAGUGAGGUCAUGGGAUCAGUGUGAUCACUGGUGUGGAUGGGAUCAUCACUGGGAUCCAUGGGAUCAGUGGGAUCGUUGGGAUAGGUGGGAUCAUCAAGUGGGGUCAUGAGAUCAGUGGGAUUGCUGGGAUGGAUGGGAUCAUGCAGUGGGGUCAUGGGAUCGAUGGGUGACAUGGGUGGGGUCACCAAUGGGAUCAUCGGUGACAUCAGUGGGAUCAAUAGGAUCACUGGAAUGGAUGGGAACAUCAGUGGGCUGGGUGGGAUCAUCAGUGGGGUCAUGGGAUCGAUGGCUGACAUGGGUGGGAUCAGUGGUGGGAUCAAUGGGAUGGAUGGGAUCAUUGGUGGGGUCAUGGGAUCAUCAGUGGCAUUCAUGGGAUCAGAGGGAUUUCUGGGAUGGAUGGGAUGAUCAGUGAGGUCAUGGGGUAAGUGUGAUCGCUGGUGUGGAUGGGAUCAUCACUGGGAUCCAUGGGGUCAGUGGGAUCAUGGAUGGGAUGGGUGGGAUCAUCAGUGGGCUCAUGGGAUCGGUGGGUGACAUGGGUGGGAUCGUAGGUGGGAUCAAUGGGAUGGAUGGGAUCAUUGGUGGGGUCAUGGGAUCGAUGGAUGACAUGGGUGGGGUCACCAAUGGGAUCAUCGGUGACAUCAGUGGGAUCAAUAGGAUCACUGCAAUGGAUGGGAACAUCAGUGGGUUGGGUGGGAUCAUCAGUGGGGUUAUGGGUUCAA